AUGCGUAGAUAUCAGGAGGAACACCAGUGUCGAAGUCGGCUCUCUGGUCCGGAAUUGACGCUGAGGUACUAAAGCGUGGGUAGCAAACAGGAUUAGAUACCAUGGUAGUCCACGCCCUAAACGAUGGAUACUUGAUGUCGGGAUGUUCGGUCGUCUCGGUGUCGUAGCUAACGUGUUAAGUAUCCCGCCUGGGGACUACGGUCGCAAGACUGAAACUCAAGGGAAUUGACGGGGGCCCGCACCAGCGGUGGAACAUGUGGUUUAAUUCGAUGCAACGCGAAGAACCUUACCUGGGCUUGACAUAUAUAUGAAGUAUGUAAGAAAUUAUGUAUUCUGUCUGCAUUUGCAGGUAGCAUAUAUACAGGUGAUGCAUGGCUGUCGUCAGCUCGUGUCGUGAGAUGUAGGGUUAAGUCCCUUAACGAGCGCAACCCUUGCUUUUAGUUGCCAUCAGGUAAUGCUGGGGACUCUAGAAGGACUGCCGAGGUUAACUCGGAGGAAGGUGGGGAUGACGUCAAGUCAGUAUGUCCCUUAUGUCCAGGGCUACACACGUGUUACAAUGGACGGUACAGAGUGCAGCUACGCCGUGAGGCUACGCAAAUCACUUAAAGCCGUUCCCAGUUCGGAUUGGAGUCUGCAAUUCGACUCCAUGAAGUUGGAAUCGCUAGUAAUCGCAGAACAGCAUGCUGCGGUGAAUACGUUCCCGGGCAUUGUACACACCGCCCGUCACGCCAUGGAAGUUGGGAGUACCCAAAGUUGCUGUC
Molecule: ribosomal RNA, 761 nt
Filed under: uncultured organism
Description: bacterial SSU rRNA
Rfam family: Bacterial small subunit ribosomal RNA
Source: RNAcentral